GACGAACGCUGGCGGCGUGCCUAACACAUGCAAGUCGAACGGAAAGGCCCUGCUUUUGUGGGGUGCUCGAGUGGCGAACGGGUGAGUAACACGUGAGUAACCUGCCCUUGACUUUGGGAUAACUUCAGGAAACUGGGGCUAAUACCGGAUAGGAGCUCCUGCUGCAUGGUGGGGGUUGGAAAGUUUCGGCGGUUGGGGAUGGACUCGCGGCUUAUCAGCUUGUUGGUGGGGUAGUGGCUUACCAAGGCUUUGACGGGUAGCCGGCCUGAGAGGGUGACCGGCCACAUUGGGACUGAGAUACGGCCCAGACUCCUACGGGAGGCAGCAGUGGGGAAUAUUGCACAACGGGCGGAAGCCUGAUGCAGCAACGCCGCGUGCGGGAUGACGGCCUUCGGGUUGUAAACCGCUUUCGCCUGUGACGAAGCGUGAGUGACGGUAAUGGGUAAAGAAGCACCGGCUAACUACGUG
Molecule: ribosomal RNA, 468 nt
Filed under: uncultured bacterium
Lineage: Bacteria
Description: partial 16S ribosomal RNA
Rfam family: Bacterial small subunit ribosomal RNA
Source: RNAcentral